ACGAGUGGUGCAAGCGUUAUUCGGAAUCAUUGGGCGUACAGGGCGUGUAGGUGGUAUGUUAAGUCUGUUGUUAAAGACUCUAGCCUAACUGGAGAAAGGCAAUGGAAACUGGUGUACUAGAGGGUGGAAGAGGGAAGUGGAAUUCGCGGUGUAGCGGUGAAAUGCUUAGAUAUCGCGAGGAACACCGAUGGCGAAGGCAGCUUACUAGGCCAUAACUGACACUGAGGCGCGAAAGCGUGGGGAGCAAACAG
Molecule: ribosomal RNA, 251 nt
Filed under: uncultured prokaryote
Description: partial 16S rRNA
Rfam family: Bacterial small subunit ribosomal RNA
Source: RNAcentral